Molecule: ribosomal RNA, 870 nt
Filed under: uncultured archaeon
Lineage: Archaea
Description: bacterial SSU rRNA
Rfam family: Archaeal small subunit ribosomal RNA
Source: RNAcentral
CUGGUUGAUCCUGCCAGACCCGACUGCUAUCGGAUUGGGACUAAGCCAUGCGAGUCAACUCCGCAAGGGGUGGCGCACGGCUCAGUAACACGUAGUCAACCUACCCUGGGGACGGGGAUAACCUCGGGAAACUGAGGCUAAACCCCGAUGGGCCAUGGCUCCUGGAAUGGGCUAUGGCUGAAAUCUACAUGGCCCCAGGAUGGGACUGCCGCCGAUCAGGUUGUUGGUGGGGUAAUGGCCCACCAAGCCUAUAACCGGUGCGGGCUCUGAGAGGAGGAGCCCGGAGAUAGGCACUGAGACAAGGGCCCAGGUCCUAUGGGGCGCAGCAGGCGCGAAACCUCCGCAAUGGGCGAAAGCCCGACGGGGUCAGUCCGAGUGGUUCCCGCUGAGGGAACCUUUUGCCAGCUGUAAACAGGCUGGCGAAUAAGGGGUGGGCAAGUUUGGUGUCAGCCGCCGCGGUAAUACCAGCACCCCGAGUGGUCGGGACGAUUAUUGGGCCUAAAGCAUCCGUAGCCGGCCCAGUAAGUCCUCCGUUAAAUCCAACGGCUCAACCGUUGGGCUGCGGGGGAUACUGCUGGGCUAGGGGACGGGAGAGGCGAGGGGUAUUCCCGGGGUAGGGGUAAAAUCCACUGAUCCCGGGAGGACCACCAGUGGCGAAGGCGCCUCGCUAGAACGUGCCCGACGGUGAGGGAUGAAAGCUGGGGGAGCGAACCGGAUUAGAUACCCGGGUAGUCCCAGCCGUAAACGAUGUAGGCUCGGUGUUGGGCUGCCUCAGUGGCAGCCCAGUGCCGCAGGGAAGCCGUUAAGCCUACCGCCUGGGGAGUACGGCCGCAAGGCUGAAACUUAAAGGAAUUGGCGGGGGAGCACCAC